CUACCACGAGCGUGUGCGCGCUUCCGGGAGGCCGCUGCAGGCCCGGCCCAGUCCCGCGCCGCGGUCCCCAACCGACACCCCGUGUGCCCUCCCGCGCGGGCCGCGGCUCCGCCAGGGCGGCCUCCUCCGCCUGCGCCCCCAGCUGGGCCGGCCGGGGGGCCCCCAGCCACAGGGCCGCACUGCUCGCGUGCGGCGCCAGCUCCGGGGCUGCCGCGGAGCCUCGGGGAGCAGCCGCCCAAGCCCAUUCCUGAUGCGGGCUGCGGAGAUAGCAGCGGGCCCACGGCCUCCGGAAUAGGCAGCGCGGCCGCCCGGGAGCGCGGCCCUGGCGGGUUCAGGGCUCCCGUUCGGCCCCCACAGCCUCCCCUACGCGCCAGCCGCCCCCACUCCCCAAUCCACCUCCACAGGCCCCCACAACCGCCCCCCACACCUUGGUUAGGAGGCUGCAAACGUUCCACGGCACAGCAGCACCAAGACGCUGAAGCAACUGACGCGCCGCCCCCGCGCCUGCCUUAUAUAGCGACGGGCCCGCCCAGCGCGCGGCGCUUUUUCCAGAAGCCUCCCGAACCUUCCGGAAGAACCCUCCCCAACCGCCGCCGCGGCCGCGCGCCUGCGCCUGCGCCCUCGCCGUGGCCCGCCCUUCCCACUGGCGCGCGCAGGCCCUGCUCGUGGCCCAGCCCGGGAAACCUUCCCUCAAUCACGCCCCCGCGCCGACCUCAAUGCGCCUGCGCGGCCUGGAAUUCUCGGGAAGGUCCGGACGCCUUCUGGGGCCCCCGCGCCCUCCGCCCUGCACUCCCACCUGCUGAGCGCGGGCGGAGGGCACGCCCGGGCGUGGGGGCCUUUGAAGUGAGGUGUAGUUUGGUCACCAGGGCUGCGCAGAAUGCGGGGCCGGGGCGGGAGGCGCGCCUGGAGGGAGGGCCGUGCGUGGACGGGGAGCGCCCCGGAUCUCGCGCGCCCGGGAGACUACUGGAGCCGUCGUCCUCACGGACGGCGCGCCCGCUGCCAAAAAACCCAGCCGCAGGCGGCGCCGGGAUCGCGGGGCUCUGCUCCCUGGGGGCCUUUGGGCUGUUGGCUUCUAGCUGCUGCGCGCAGGGGACGCCGUCCCGCGGCCUGCGCGCUCGCGGAGUCUCCAGACCCACCGCUGGCUCAGGAGCGCUCCCUACCUUUGGGUUCCCCGGAAGCCAUGUCCUUCACACUUCAGGGUCCCUUAGCUUGGGAAUCGGGCCCUUGGUGAAUAAAUUCAUGCUUACCCAGCUACAUCCGGCAUGA
RNAcentral lists this long non-coding RNA (1266 nucleotides) under Papio anubis (olive baboon). Its description in RNAcentral is "lncRNA (ENSPANG00000039609.1)". The record is from RNAcentral. Lineage: Eukaryota; Metazoa; Chordata; Mammalia; Primates; Cercopithecidae.